AUUGAACGCUGGCGGCAUGCUUUACACAUGCAAGUCGAACGGUAACAGGCCUUCGGGUGCUGACGAGUGGCGAACGGGUGAGUAAUGCAUCGGAACGUACCCAGAGGUGGGGGAUAACGCAGCGAAAGCUGUGCUAAUACCGCAUGUGAUCUGAGGAUGAAAGCGGGGGACCGAGCAGCAAUGUUUGGCCUCGCGCCUUUGGAGCGGCCGAUGUCGGGUUAGCUAGUUGGUGGGGUACAGGCCUACCAAGGCGACGAUCCGUAGCUGGUCGGAGAGGACGACCAGCCACACUGGGACUGAGACACGGCCCAGACUCCUACGGGAGGCAGCAGUGGGGAAUUUUGGACAAUGGGCGCAAGCCUGAUCCAGCAAUGCCGCGUGCGGGAAGAAGGCCUUCGGGUUGUAAACCGCUUUUGGCAGGAACGAAACGGUGUCCGCUAAUACCGGGCGCUAAUGACGGUACCUGCAGAAUAAGCACCGGCUAACUACGUG
This 492-nucleotide ribosomal RNA is filed under the name uncultured bacterium. RNAcentral describes it as "partial 16S ribosomal RNA". It matches the Rfam family "Bacterial small subunit ribosomal RNA", at positions 29 to 507 of the family's 1533-position model. The record is from RNAcentral.